GAUGAACGCUGGCGGCGUGCCUAAUACAUGCAAGUCGAGCGAACGAAGGGGAAGUUUGCUUCGCUGAUGUUGGGGGCGGACGGGUGAUUAACAGGUGGAUACCUGACCUUGAGGACUGGGAUACCUUCGGGAACCCGGAUCUAGCACCGGUUGUGAUUUUGAACGGCGGGGUUCAAAAGAGAAAACGGUACUUGCUGUGCCUAAUAGAUGGUACCCCGCUGGAUUAGCUAGUUGGUAAGGUAACGGCUUACCAAGGCAACGAUGCAUAGCCGACCUGAGAGGGUGAUCAGCCACACUGGAACUGAGACACGGUCCAGACUCCUACGGGAGGCAGCAGUAGGGAAUCUUCCGCAAUGGGCGAAAGCCUGACGGAGCAACGCCGCGUGAGUGAUGAAGGUCUUCGGAUCGUAAAACUCUGUUAUUAGGGAAGAACAUAUGUGUAAGUAACUGUGCACAUCUUGACGGUACCUAAUCAGAAAGCCACGGCUAACUACGUG
This 497-nucleotide ribosomal RNA is filed under the name uncultured bacterium. RNAcentral's name for it is "partial 16S ribosomal RNA". It matches the Rfam family "Bacterial small subunit ribosomal RNA", at positions 28 to 507 of the family's 1533-position model. The record is from RNAcentral.